GAUGAACGCUGGCGGCGUGCCUAAUACAUGCAAGUCGAGCGAACGGACGAGAAGCUUGCUUCUCUGAUGUUAGCGGCGGACGGGUGAGUAACACGUGGAUAACCUACCUAUAAGACUGGGAUAACUUCGGGAAACCGGAGCUAAUACCGGAUAAUAUUUUGAACCGCAUGGUUCAAAAGUGAAAGACGGUCUUGCUGUCACUUAUAGAUGGAUCCGCGCUGCAUUAGCUAGUUGGUAAGGUAACGGCUUACCAAGGCAACGAUGCAUAGCCGACCUGAGAGGGUGAUCGGCCACACUGGAACUGAGACACGGUCCAGACUCCUACGGGAGGCAGCAGUAGGGAAUCUUCCGCAAUGGGCGAAAGCCUGACGGAGCAACGCCGCGUGAGUGAUGAAGGUCUUCGGAUCGUAAAACUCUGUUAUUAGGGAAGAACAUAUGUGUAAGUAACUGUGCACAUCUUGACGGUACCUAAUCAGAAAGCCACGCCUAACUACGUGCCAGCAGCCGCGGUAAUACGUAGGUGGCAAGCGUUAUCCGGAAUUAUUGGGCGUAAAGCGCGCGUAGGCGGUUUUUUAAGUCUGAUGUGAAAGCCCACGGCUCAACCGUGGAGGGUCAUUGGAAACUGGAAAACUUGAGUGCAGAAGAGGAAAGUGGAAUUCCAUGUGUAGCGGUGAAAUGCGCAGAGAUAUGGAGGAACACCAGUGGCGAAGGCGACUUUCUGGUCUGUAACUGACGCUGAUGUGCGAAAGCGUGGGGAUCAAACAGGAUUAGAUACCCUGGUAGUCCACGCCGUAAACGAUGAGUGCUAAGUGUUAGGGGGUUUCCGCCCCUUAGUGCUGCAGCUAACGCAUUAAGCACUCCGCCUGGGGAGUACGACCGCAAGGUUGAAACUCAAAGGAAUUGACGGGGACCCGCACAAGCGGUGGAGCAUGUGGUUUAAUUCGAAGCAACGCGAAGAACCUUACCAAAUCUUGACAUCCUUUGACAACUCUAGAGAUAGAGCCUUCCCCUUCGGGGGACAAAGUGACAGGUGGUGCAUGGUUGUCGUCAGCUCGUGUCGUGAGAUGUUGGGUUAAGUCCCGCAACGAGCGCAACCCUUAAGCUUAGUUGCCAUCAUUAAGUUGGGCACUCUAAGUUGACUGCCGGUGGCAAACCGGAGGAAGGUGGGGAUGACGUCAAAUCAUCAUGCCCCUUAUGAUUUGGGCUACACACGUGCUACAAUGGACAAUACAAAGGGCAGCGAAACCGCGAGGUCAAGCAAAUCCCAUAAAGUUGUUCUCAGUUCGGAUUGUAGUCUGCAACUCGACUACAUGAAGCUGGAAUCGCUAGUAAUCGUAGAUCAGCAUGCUACGGUGAAUACGUUCCCGGGUCU
Molecule: ribosomal RNA, 1372 nt
Filed under: uncultured bacterium
Lineage: Bacteria
Description: bacterial SSU rRNA
Rfam family: Bacterial small subunit ribosomal RNA
Source: RNAcentral